RNAcentral lists this transfer RNA (242 nucleotides) under Marmota monax (woodchuck). Its description in RNAcentral is "tRNA.His". The record is from RNAcentral. Lineage: Eukaryota; Metazoa; Chordata; Mammalia; Rodentia; Sciuridae.
GGGGGUGUAGCUCAGUGGCACAGCAUAUGCCUGUGCAUACGAGGGCCUGAGUUUAGUCCCCAGCGCCAAAAGAAAAAACAAAAAUAAAUUAAAAUUAUUAGGACAGCACCUGCUUGGAAGAUCUUAACCAGCCAACGCCCCACUGUGUGUAAACAUUAUGCUUUGAGAACUUACUUAGAGCUCGUUGGUAGAGGGCUUGCCUCACAUGCAUAAGGCCCUGGGUUCAAUCCCGAGCACCACAA